Molecule: ribosomal RNA, 446 nt
Filed under: uncultured bacterium
Lineage: Bacteria
Description: bacterial SSU rRNA
Rfam family: Bacterial small subunit ribosomal RNA
Source: RNAcentral
CCAGACUCCUACGGGAGGCAGCAGUGGGGGAUAUUGCACAAUGGGGGGAACCCUGAUGCAGCGACGCCGCGUGGGUGAAGGAGUGCUUCGGCAUGUAAAGCCCUAUCGGCAGGGAAGAAGCAAGACGGUACCUGACUAAGAAGCCCCGGCUAACUACGUGCCAGCAGCCGCGGUAAUACGUAGGGGGCGGGCGUUAUCCGGAUUUACUGGGUGUAAAGGGAGCGUAGACGGUGAUGCAAGUCAGAAGUGAAAGCCCGGGGCUCAACUCCGGGACUGCUUUUGAAACUGUGUAACUGGAGUGCAGGAGGGGUAAGCGGAAUUCCUGGUGUAGCGGUGAAAUGCGUAGAUAUCAGGAGGAACACCAGUGGCGAAGGCGGCUUACUGGACUGUAACCGACGUUGAGGCUCGAAAGCGUGGGGAGCAAACAGGAUUAGAUACCCGAGUAA